UACGGAGGAUGCAAGCGUUAUCCGGAAUGAUUGGGCGUAAAGCGUCCGCAGGUGGCUAUGUAAGUCUGCUGUUAAAGAGUGAGGCUCAACCUCAUAAGAGCAGUGGAAACUACAUGGCUAGAGUGCGUUCGGGGCAGAGGGAGUUCCUGGUGUAGCGGUGAAAUGCGUAGAUAUCAGGAAGAACACCGGUGGCGAAAGCGCUCUGCUAGGCCGCAACUGACACUGAGGGACGAAAGCUAGGGGAGCGAAUGGG
This 253-nucleotide ribosomal RNA is filed under the name uncultured bacterium. RNAcentral describes it as "partial 16S ribosomal RNA". It matches the Rfam family "Bacterial small subunit ribosomal RNA", at positions 524 to 776 of the family's 1533-position model. The record is from RNAcentral.